RNAcentral lists this long non-coding RNA (1261 nucleotides) under Capra hircus (goat). Its description in RNAcentral is "lncRNA (ENSCHIG00010031308.1)". Lineage: Eukaryota; Metazoa; Chordata; Mammalia; Artiodactyla; Bovidae. The record is from RNAcentral.
GCCGCUCGCCCGUCCCGUGGGGCGCAAGGGGGGCGGACAGGGGCGCACGCGGAGAGGCUGGGGCGCACCCGGCGCGCGGCCCGGCCCGGACGCCUGGGUCCACGCGGGUGUCCUGAGAGAACCGCACUGAGCUUUAAUGAGGGGGGCGGGGCGGGGAGGGGGCCGACGGGGGUGCCGAGAGAGCCCUGCAUGCUGAAGUCAUUAUGUAAAAUCGCAGGCUUCCCCCGCUGUGGAAAUUUGGAAAAGCGCUUCCACUGGCAGGCCCGAGAAAGGAAAUUCCCAUCCCGCUAAAUUACUAACAGAUUGCACGGCAGUCCCGGGACGUGGAGUCACUGUCAUUUUUCUCCUGUAAAUAUCUGAGCGACCCAGAUUGCCUGUUGCAAGGCUGGCUGGCGCGGGGCGGCGCGGGGGGGGCGGGCCGUGGAGAACCGCGAGCCCCUCCCCGGGCUCCCAGCCGUCGCCCCCAGCCGGCCCCGAGGCCAGGGCGGUUUACCGGCGCGACUGGGGUUUCCAGCCGACGGGGGCUGGUCCGCUCGCCUCGCGGGGGAGGCCUCUCCAACCGGCUGCUUCACUUCACUCUUUCCUCUUUCAAGCCCUCCUGCUUUCUCGGUGCAGCUUGGCGGCCAAAACGGGACCGUAUUUUCGUGUUGGCCUUGGCUGGAAGGGACGGAGUGUUGGGGCAGUUAAAAUGUCUGGUGUAUAAGAAUUAUAAAUCUAUUGCACGACACCCUAUGUGGGUUAAAAUAAACCCAAAGCAGAAGACGUGUCUGCCGCGGGGACCAGGAGGCCUGCGGCUCGCGGGGGGGUGCUCCCAAAGGACUCCACGCCCGGCACUCGGGGAAAGGGGGGGUGCCACGCUUGACCCAAUGGGGGGGGGUUGCCCUGCCCUCGGUGCGACAUUAAACAACAGGAAGGCGCCCGGCAGAGGCAUGCCCACGUCACCACCGCGGUUGUCGGUUCAUCCCAGUGGAGUCGGCGCGACUGGGCGCAGGCCUCCCCUGGGGGUCUCCCCUGGGGGUCUCCCUUGGGGGUCUGGAGAGGGUCAGGCCACUCCUGGUGCCACGACCUGUGGGUCAGCGCCCGUCCUGGGAGCCGACCCGCCAGGCGCCUCGAGCCCCAGGCAAAGGGCGGGGGGUGGACCCCGCGGGGACGCAGUGGCUGGGGCUGGGAGACCCCGCGAGGACGCUGGAGGCCCAAGAGGGGGAACCCCUCGAGCUUGCCGAGGGGGGAGGGUUGCGAGGACGCGGGACGGAGGGAGGCG